This 478-nucleotide ribosomal RNA is filed under the name uncultured bacterium. RNAcentral's name for it is "partial 16S ribosomal RNA". It matches the Rfam family "Bacterial small subunit ribosomal RNA", at positions 28 to 523 of the family's 1533-position model. The record is from RNAcentral.
GACGAACGCUGGCGGCGUGCUUAACACAUGCAAGUCGAACGGUAAGGCCCUUCGGGGUACACGAGUGGCGAACGGGUGAGUAACACGUGGGUGAUCUGCCCUGCACUUCGGGAUAAGCCUGGGAAACUGGGUCUAAUACCGGAUAGGACCACUGCCUGCAUGGGUGGUGGUGGAAAGCUUUUGCGGUGUGGGAUGGGCCCGCGGCCUAUCAGCUUGUUGGUGGGGUGAUGGCCUACCAAGGCGACGACGGGUAGCCGGCCUGAGAGGGCAACCGGCCACACUGGGACUGAGAUACGGCCCAGACUCCUACGGGAGGCAGCAGUGGGGAAUAUUGCACAAUGGGCGCAAGCCUGAUGCAGCGACGCCGCGUGAGGGAUGACGGCCUUCGGGUUGUAAACCUCUUUCAGCACCGACGAAGCGCAAGUGACGGUAGGUGCAGAAGAAGGACCGGCCAACUACGUGCCAGCCGCCGCGGUAA